Apis dorsata (giant honeybee) is the source of this 358-nucleotide long non-coding RNA. RefSeq lists it as uncharacterized. The record is from RefSeq and is a predicted model, not a curated record. The transcript has 3 exons. NCBI's taxonomy places the organism in Eukaryota, Metazoa, Arthropoda, Insecta, Hymenoptera, Apidae.
AGAUUUAAUUUCUCGAUUUUCCUUGAGAUUCUUAGCAAUCUCCAAGAGUUGCCAAUGAGAGAGCUCCGUGGCGACUUUUGGCGCGCAAUGUCAGUCUUGUGUGGAAAGUGAACAAGGGAGGACGUGUGAUCGCUGCCGGCUUGGAAAAUUCUACUGCGCAAUUAUUACGAUUAUCCGAUCGAUGUAUUGGUCAGAAAGGCGGGAAAAAUUCCAACAUGGACGCCAUUAUAUCUUUUCAAAAGGAAGCUUGAUUUUCUGCUCAUGUAUUGUAUGUAUUUAUUCUAUAUUUGUUCUAUAUUUCGAUCGUUAUUAUAUCAUAUACUUUAUCAUUACGUGAAAAUAUAUUUCAUCUUAUAUA